Molecule: long non-coding RNA, 3103 nt
Organism: Orussus abietinus
Lineage: Eukaryota; Metazoa; Arthropoda; Insecta; Hymenoptera; Orussidae
Exons: 3
Source: RefSeq, a predicted model, not a curated record
AGCCGACUCGCGCCAGAAGACGAACCUCUGCGGAAAUCGAACGUUAGCCGGCCCGGUUCUCGGAGCGUUCAGCUGACUCACGAUUUUCACAACGCCGCCGGCUGGCUCAUUAAUUACAUAGACUCGCCGUUUCUUUUAUCAACGUCGGCGCGUAUCAUAUUUUCUAAUCGAAGACGACCCCUCGCCGCUUCCGUCUUACCUCUUGCUACAAUCGAGAGGUUGCUUAACCUUACAAUACGUUGCCGCAAUUUUUCAGUCGCGUAAUCCACAUUUUUUGGUCGAAGAGUUUAUGGUUUAGCUUAGAAAUAUUUAUACUCUCGUGAUUUUGCAGCUUUAUGUUGUUACGUUAGAAAAUUCGGGGGAGAUGAGGCGAAUCGAUGUAGGGACCAGCUAACACGGUUUCGUCAAGGCCACGACCAACCGCGACGACGCGUUUUCUCCGACGGCGAGCUUGACGCUGAUUGGUCGGAUCAGCUCGUGCCAGAAGACGCACCUCCGCAGAAAACAAACAUCGAGUGGCCCGAUUCACGACAUUAGGGCUGACUCACUUUCCCGAUAUCGCGGACAGGCUCCUUAAUUACAUCAGCUCACCGAGUUCUAGUAUUUACGGAGUAUCGUAACUUGUAAUCGGGGAUAACUUCUAUUGUUUUUCGUCUUGCCACUCUCCUCGGUCCGAUAUCUUUUACUUAUUUGCAAUAACAAAGCGCCUUUCACAUAAUUCAACGUCCCGGGACUAUUUUGGAUACGCAGUAGUUCAUCGGAGUAAACUAACGUACCUCGAAUGUUGAGUGAAACAUUCCGCAAGAAAUGGCGACUGGUAUUUAUUCAUUUAGGACGUCGUGAACAUAAACGGCGUGUCAAAAUGGCGGCUUUCAAAUCUUGCCGGGAUGCAGAAAGACCUGGUAUAUUUUCGUAAAAAGGUUCUACAUCAUCCGGGGAAUUUAACCCGGCUUCUCGUACAGCAUCCUUCUCGUUCGAGUCUAUUGACUUGAACAUGUUUUACCUUUGUUGUGUAGGCGAAAUUAAUACCUGAUCUCAAAGAAAAACUGCCCAACGACGCGCGUCACGAUUAGGUUUCUUGAUUGCGCCGCCGUGAUAUGAUAACACCGAAGUUAACAAAGAGCGUUGCACAAUAGAAAUAAUGGAAAUUAGUACCGAGUAUUAAGACAGCGGUUGAAUGCCAGUUAGUGAUUAAAACCGACCAUGUAAUACCCUUCCACCGAGCACUGAAUUUCCUCAAUUAAUUCCAACGCCGAGAAUGCUUAAUCGUCUAUGUAUUUUAAUUAAAUCGUUGAUACAAACAAGAACUUGCGAUAAGGAAGGUCAUUCGCCAGACACUCAUUUCGACAGGAGAAUAAUUCUUUUUUUUCUUUUUUUUCCCUGUAACUUUUAACUCCAUCUCAAUAUUUAUAUGAAAUUCAGAUAUAAGUGUCUGCGUAAAUAAGAUUAAACUUCUGUCGGUGCUUGAAUAUCGCUGAUAUUAUUUUAACAGGCCCAGUUUUUAAUUGGCGAUAACGUUCUCGGGAUUUUUCGUCAGUCGGGUCAUUAUGAAAGAAAUCAUUGAAUGCUUGGCACUGCACGUUGCAUGUGACGGUGCAACGAUGUCACAAUGCAUUUGUACACCCACUUUGCAGGGAGUUCUCAUUGGUAUAGACUCGUUAGAGAGUACUCGAGGUAAACAACGAUAUUUGGACCGACUUGCUUUUCCUAGUGCGCACAUUGCCAGGAAAUAACAAGAGAAUGAAAGAGAAGUGACGCAGUUAAAAUGACUCCCAUUUGAAAACAAGAACCGUCCCUCGACCGAUCACCAGCAAAACACGCAUCGAAUAAUUCGCACAUGAGUGCGAGUGGACCCGUAGCCGUUAGAAUCUCUUUAGAUAAUAAUUAUUCACCUUUAUUAGUCAUUCAAUGCAUCAUUCAUGUCGGAAUUGACGGAGUAAAUGUAAACCGGGGACUUAAGAGUUACACGUCUUACCACUUUAUUUUACAUGGAUAAGAAAAGUCUAGUUACCUCUUUGAGUACGGAACCCUUUCGACAUAUGGGCGAAAUUCAUCAGUGCGUGCAAGCAAUAUUGAACCAAACGUCGGACGCCUUUAAUAGCUGGAGGGUUAAUAAUGAUUUUAGCGUCAUUGGGUGCGAUAUUUUCGAUUCCUUGUCGAGAAUAUCUACUGAAUGUUUUAAACAGAAUAUCGAAUUGGUGACUCGCCGACCUUGCGAUAGAAGUGUGUUCAUGCUAAGUGUGGAAUAGUUUUAGGGCACGGCCGCGAGAUGGCACCCUUUCUCGAGAUAUCGAAGAAACGGAGGGCUCACUCUGUUACCCUCUGUUACUCUUUGAUUUACUUUUAUUUAUCAUCACAAGUCUAACGAACUAUCGCACGAUUUUAAGAACAAGUAUACUGUACGUUUUUAAAAAAGAUGGUGGAGCUUAAAAAAUUAGUAAAAAUAGGUGUAUAUGGUGGAGUCGCUGCGAGUGCUGCUGGACUUUUUGUAAUAUACUCGUUGCAAAGAAAAUUUCGUAAAUCUGCCUCCUAUCAAGAAGCUAUGCAACAUUUACGCAGUCAUCCUCUUGCGAUUCAAAAGCUUGGUGAACCAAUAAAACAAAAAGGAAAUGUCUCUAUGGCACAUCUAGAUCCUGAAGAUUCAUGCAAAAUAAUAAAGGUUACGGUCCCUAUCGCAGGACCCAAGGGAACUGGAAAAUUACAGUAUUACAUUAAAAUAAUAAAUGAAAACCUAGGUACAUUUCUAGUUAACAAAGUAGAACUUGAUCUUCCUAAACUUAAUAUGAAAGAAGUAAUAUUUGAAAAUAAAUAAUCAAAUUAAUGAAAACAGGUUUAUGGCUGAAAAAGCAAAUUGAGAUAAUUAAACAAAUUUUAUAAAUAAAAAAAAUGUAAUUUCAACCUUCCUUGGACUAAAUAAGAAUGAAUAAGGGUGUCAUUGUGUGUCUUAUUUACAUACAAUUUAUUUUAUGCCGGCAUCAACUACCUUGAAUAUAUUAAGUUAUAGGAUUAUGUAAAAAUUAUUGAUUUAAUGAAAAAGGAGUUGUGCUCUAUGUGAGUACCAUCCUGUAUUAUUGACAUGUAAAUAAAAUGUUAUCUAAAUGUU